UCUAUUCUUAUUCUUAUUCUAUUACUUUGAUAUUCUAGUUUGUUUAGCCAUUGGAGUCCGAAAGUUCUGAAUUCAGUAUGGCUUCUGGUACUUACUGACUGUGUGACCUUGGACAAGCCACUUUAACUUCUGUUUGCCUUAAUCCCCUGGGGAAGGAAAUGGUAAAUGAUUGUGGUAUCUUUGCUAAGAAAACCCAUAUGGGAUCACAAAGACAUAACUAAACAGCAAACUGAUAAAUACCUACUUCAUUUUUUUUACUACUACAAAAGAUAGUUGCUAUAAAUAUAGAUAUCAAAUCAACUAGAAAUUAAGUACUUACUCUGUGGCAUAGAUUGUGCUAAAGAUAGGCCUACAAAGAAUGUAAAAAAAAAAAAGAACCACCUUCCUUGCCUUCAAGGAGCUAACAAUCUUAAUAGGAAAGAUAAUGUACAAAUAACUUUAUACAGAAGAGAUAGACACAGGAUAACUUUCAGAUAAACUCAAGAGUGGAGGCACUAGCAAUAAGAGGGAUUAAAGGUCUUCUGUAGAGGUAGGAUUUUUAGCUUAGACUUGAAGAAAGCUAGGAGGCAGAAAUGAAUAGGGAGAGUGCCAGACACGGAGGGCAGCCAAUGAAAAUACCCAGUAUGGGUAUUGUAGCUUGGUGGGAAAUGAAGAGAGAAUUGCUCUGUAUCCCUCCUUUAAAUGAAAGUUCUGGGAGGAGCCCUUCACUUUUCACACAGAGGGAGGGAUCCCAGCAGUAGAGGGUUACUUUGGAAGUGUCAUUUCUAGGAUCAGAGUGACUGAAAGCAGCAAAACCUAUAAGAAGUCUAUUUGUGUGUGUGUGAUAAGGACCUGAACUAGGAUAGUGACUGUGUGAAGAGAAUUGUUGAGAGUAGAAUCAAUUGGACUUAGAUUAGACUGAUGACUAAAUGAGAGGAAAGUCUAGGAUGAUUUUGAGGUGAACCUAGGUAAUUACAAGGAUGGUGGUGUUAGGUGUAAAAAUCAGGGUUGUUGAAUGAUUAUAUUAUAUUUGUGGUCACCAGGGAUUAAAAUUCAAUCCCAAUGAAAUAUUCAAGUCAGUUUAGGAUUUUUAUGGUGGUUUAAUUACAUUAGAAGGAAGAAAUUAAGAAGGAGAAGAGGAAAGGGGAAGUGGACUGCUCCGGUCUGGUCUGAGCCAGGCAGGAGUUCAGGGGCCUCAGCCAAGGGGGCCUUUUCCAGAAAGCCAAGGGAAAGGUAUGAGAUUUUCUCCAGCCUAGCCUAAGCCAAGGGAGGUUGAGGCCUUGGCCAAGGUGCCUUCUCAGAAGAUUAAAUCUAGCUCCGUUUCCAGCCAUGAGGCCUCCUCCAAGAUGAGGGGCCUCCUAGGAGGAUAGUGCUUUUUAGGUGGUCAAGGAAAGGAGGAAUCUGCCUUACCACUCACCAAGGUUGCUCAGGGAAGAAGCCUCACCUAAACCACACUACAGAGCCAAAACACCGCAAGCAUGCCAAAAUGCCACCCAGAGCUCCCAACGCCUCCCAGGGAGUGCUCACAGGAAGUGAUGCAAAUUAUAUAGGCAAUUCUUUACAUCACUUCCUGUGUCUCACAUAUACCAAUGGUAGCUUAAGCUUGGCUUAGGACAGCCCAGGGAGACAGUCAGUUGUUUCUGACUUGUCACUUGCUAUCACAUGCUGGUCAUAGGCCAUCCUCCUCUAUAAUUAAUCCUUAACUGGAGGUGUGUAUACAUUCCUUGGUUGCUAAAAUUCUAAAGACUAAGCAGGGUGGAGUAAAUCUAAAAUUCACAGUGGGGUGUACCACAGAAAUAGGGAACCUGAGAGAAGUUAACCUAAGGUAGGUAAAGACAGUGAAUUCCAUUUUGGCUAUGCUAAUGUCAAUGGGGUAUCCUGAUGGAGGUGUAUUUGGUGAUGUGGUAAGAGAUUUAUUAGACUGCAUGUAUUGAUUUGAAAAUAUGCUUAGAUAUGAUAGACCAAGGAAAAUAGCAUAAGGUCACAAGAGAAGAGAGCUCAUGAUAGAGCCCACACUUUGUGCAUGUGCAUGUGCAUGUGUAUGUGAGAGGAGAGAAGAAAAGAGGAAGGAAGUGGGAAGGAGAGAGAGAUGGAUGAUAAUUAUACUAUAAAGAAAACUUAGAGAUUAGGAAAGCCACCAUCAUGUUUCUUUUGUUCUCCGCUUUAAACAUUACCACAUGUGCUUCUUCAACAGGUUCUUGUAUCAUAGUCUCCAGUUUUGUAAUCAUCUUAGUUGUGCAAAAUAAGGGAAGAGAGAUUUUGCAUUUAGAAGAGAGACCAGUCUCUAGGAGGGACCAGCUGAAGAGAAUGGAGGAGGGGUGAAGAAAAACUCAGAGUUCAAAGGAGGAAUCAGAACCUUGGAGGCAACUGGUAGGAUUACUUCCAGGCUAGGAUGUGGAGAAAGGUGGAUUUCCUGAAAGUGAGAAGCCCAUUCAUUUGAGAUUUAUUUUACCUUCUGAAACCCUGAAAUAACUCCACUAAGACUCAAAUCUUCAAGAGGGAUUGUGGAUUUGGACAUUUGACCAGAGCCAUCUGGAUCCUUUCUUGGAAUAUUUCUCUCUCUCUCUCCUUUACUUGUCCCUGGACUUAUACCUUUACUUGUCCCUGGACUUAUACCUUCAAGGUUUAGUUAGUUUGAGAGUAGGGGCAAGAAAGGAAUUGGCAAAAAGGAGAGGUCAGGACUGAGAAGCCUUUGGCCUCCAGACUUUGAAAGGACAAUCUGCAAAAGGGGAAAAUCUUUAGGGCUUCCCUUUUUUUUACCCCCUUUUUUUUUACUUCCCUUUUUUUACCCCCUUCCCAAAAUUUUCCUCCCUUAUACCCCUGUCAUUCUCUUCCUGCUUCAACCUUAAUAAAUCAUUUUGAAAUUUAGAACUUUGGGUUUGGACCUGUCCCUAAAUAAUAUAACAAAGGGGAUUAGAAUUUGAAAUCACUGAGACAGAAUUUCAAGCUGAAACUCAAAAGGACAGGAUCUCUCCCUAUAAGUAAAGGAGGAAAGAAACAAUCCAUUGUCUCUCUAUUACCCCUUUCCCUCCUCCCGGUUUCCUCCUUCUUUACAGUUAGUUGCCUUCCUCUGGACCCAUUCCAGCUUGUCAAUGAUACUAUUUUUUUAUAAUUCAAGGUGAAUAGGAAUUAACCUUUAAAAAAAAGGUGAUCCUUUAGAUGAUUUAGUGGCAAUCUUGAACAUCUAGUUUAGGGUGAGGGCAUUGCUCUCCAUUUGCAGGGUAUGCACACUUACCCUCUCUCUUUCUGCUACAAUUUCUUCAGUUAUAAAAUGGGGAUAACAAUAGCAUGUGCCUCCCAGGGUUUGGUGUUUUUUUGGAAGAUUAAAUGAGAUAAUAGUAAGUUAGUACACAUAGUAGGCACUUAAUAAAUACCUGAUCCUCUCUCUUCUUUUUAAUUUUAUGUAUUUUAAGGCAGCUGGGUGACUUAGUGAAUAGAGUACUAGGCCUGGAGUCAGGAAUACUCAACCUUUUUGAAUUCAAAUCUGUCUUUAGGCACUUAAUAGCUGUGUGACCCCAGGCAAAUUACUUAACCCUGCUUCCCUCAGUUUUCUCCUCUGUAAAAUGAGCUGUAGAAGGAAAUGGCAAACUACUCUAGUAUUUUUUACCAAGAAAACCCCAAAUGGGGUCAAUGAGGAGCCAGACACAACUGAAAUAAACAAAUAAUAACAAUUUUAUUUUGUGCACUUAAUAAAAUUCCUCUGGCAACGGAUUCAUAAGUUUUGCCAAACAUUUCCAUGAUACAAAAAAUUUUUUUCUAGGUUUGAGGCCUUUAGAAGGUCAUAUAACUAGUUUUUUUUUUUUUUUUUUGCAAGGCUAGGCCAAUAAUCUCCUUAUACUUACCCCUGGAUAUUUAGCUUUUCAUUAGGGCCCAGAAGUUACCUCCUGCCAUGCACUUUUGCAUUGAAAACUUCAGUGUUGCUUAGUGGUUAGAGCAAUAGACUUAAAAUCAGAAAGACAGGUUUUCUAGUCAGCUUACUAUGAACAAAUUUGUUAGUUUCUCUGAACCUCAGUUUCCCUGUUCUUGUCUGGUCCUGACUCAGUCCCUCAAUAGUUUAUAUUUGAUAGUGGAAUGAAAUGAGACUGAAGUUCAUAUGGCAAUUAACAUAAGGAGGUUUACUGAACCAUAGCAGGAGAAAGAUAGUCAGUAAGGAAUAUGCACAUAGGAUACCCUGGGCUGAUUUAGCUAAAUGAAGCUCCUUUGCCUGAGUCACCCAUUAAGGUUUUCCAGUCAAGCCUUAGAGCAGUGAUGGCGAAUCUUUUGGAGACUGAGUGCUGUAUCCCUCUCUCCCACUGAAUGCUGGUGUACCCUGCCUCUCCCCCUCACACACACAGGGAAGGGAGGAAGUGCUCCAUUUGGGUUGAUGGACAGAGAGGUGGGUGAAGUGAGGAAUGUCCUCAGUGAGUGUAGAGAGGGGGAGGGGAGUGGCAUGAGCACUCUGCUCCCCUUCAGCUCUGCCAGCUCUUCUGCCUGUGAGCUACCCACCUUAUCCUCUAUACACUCCCAUUGACUGCUGGGCAGAGGGAUGGGGGAUGGGGAAAAUGUCAACACACAUGGUGGAGAGGGGGAGGGGAGUAGCUCCACCCAAGACCCUCUGCCUUUCUAGUAACAAACUUGGGGUUGUGAGGUGUGAGAGUGGAGGCAGGGAGGGGACAGCCACAUACCCACAGAGAGUGCGUGGCAUGCCAUCUUUGGCAUCUGUGCCAUAGGUUUACCAUCACUACCUUAGAGCAUGUGUGUAGCUUCUUAUGGCUGUUUAGUGCUCAGGAGACCGUAAAGUGAUGUCAGUAGCCUGAACCUUCAGACCUCUGAGUUAGUCAAGUGUUGAGGAUGUUUUCAAUACUUUAAAAGGAAGAAACAGACUAAUUUUUAUGGGCAUUGGAAGGGUGGAUUAUUAUUCCUACAUUUUCCCCAUCUAUAAAUGCAGAUAAUAAUAAAAUGCAGCACCUGGCAAUAAUCAAUGAAAUAAGGAAUAAAAAAACAAAUUUGUAAAAUUUUUAGUACUUUAGAAAUGUGAACUGCUGUUAUUUCUAUUAUUGGGAUGUUAAAAAAUAGUUGAAUUCUUUUUUUUUUUUAAUGAAGGGAUAGUCCUGGGAAGAGGAUCUGUUUUUUUAAGAAGUCUGUCAUCUCUGCAAAGGAGAGUAAGUGACUUUUUCCCUAUAGGUGGGAUUCAGUUACCAGCUGUUUUGACUAACUUGCUUCUUCCUUUAGUUAAACCUGAUUAGCCAGUUACCUCCCAUUCUUUCCUGUGGCCUGGCCUGAUUCGGAGCUCAGGCAGAAAGAAGCCAAGACUCUCUGUUGGUAUGCCAGGACACUGAUGCCCCUAAAACAUUCCUGCUUGACUUGUGCUUGCUUCACUGCAGUUCAUCAUAUCAGUAGCCACGUGGCUUUUGUGAUAAGACACUCCAUCUCCCCAAAAUAGCAUUUUCAUCAUCUGUUCGCCAUGCCUGGAUUUCACUCCCUCCUCAUCUCCACCUCGUGGCUUCCUUCAAGUGCCAGCUAAAACUCCACCUUUUAUUUUGUUUUAUUUUUAAUUUUUAUUUGGUCAUUUCCAAACAUUAUUCAUUGGAAACAAAGAUCAUUUUCUUUUCUUCCCUCCCCUCCCUCCCACCACCCCUCCCAUAGCCCACUCACAAUUCCACUGGGUAUCACAUGUGUUCUUGAUUCAAACCCAUUUCCAUGUUGUUGGUAUCUGCAUUAGAGUGUUCAUUUAGAGUCUCUCCUCAAUCAUAUAUCCCCUCCACCCCUGUAGUCAAGCAGUUGCUUUUCAUCAGUGUUUUUACUCCCACAGUUUAUCUUCUGCUUGUGGAUAGUGUUUUUUAGAUCCCUGCAGAUUGUUCAGGGACAUUGCAUUGCCACUAAUGGAGAAGUCCAUUACCUUCGAUUGUACCACAAUGUAUCUGUCUCUGUGUACAAUGUUUUCCUGGUUCUGCUCCUUUCGCUCUGGAUCACUUCCUGGAGGUUGUUCCAGUCUCCAUGGAAUUCCUCUACUUUAUUAUUCCUUUUAGCACAAUAGUAUUCCAUCACCAACAUAUACCACAAUUUGUUCAGCCAUUCCCCAAUUGAAGGGCAUCCCCUCAUUUUCCAAUUUUUGGCCACCACCAAGAGCGCAGCUAUGAAUAUUCUUGUACAAGUCUUUUUCCUUAUUAUCUCUUUGGGGUACAAACCCAGCAGUGCUCUGGCUGGAUCAAAGGGCAGACAGUCUUUUAGCGCCCUUUGGGCAUAGUUCCAAAUUGCCCUCCAGAAUGGUUGGAUCAAUUCACAACUCCACCAGCAAUGAAUUAGUGUCCCUACUUUGCCACAUUCCCUUCGGCAUUCAUUACUUUCCAUAGCUGUCAUGUUAGCCAAUCUGCUAGGUGUGAGGUGAUACCUCAGAGUUGUUUUGAUUUGCAUAUCUCUGAUUAUAAGAAAUGUAGAGCACUUCUUCAUGUGCUUGUUAAUAGUUUUGAUUUCUUUGGCUGAGAACUGCCAGUUCAUGUCCCUUGCCCAUUUAUCAAUUGGAGAAUGACUUGAUUUUUUGUACAAUUGAUUUAGCUCUUUGUAUAAAACUCCACCUUUUAUGAGAAAUCUCUUUAAUGUUAGUACCAUGCUCCCAUGAAUUCUUUCCAAUUCAUCCUGUAUGGGUAUCUUGUUUGUUUGUAUGUAUGUAUGUAGUUUUUAUGUUGGCUCCCCUAUUUAGAUUGCGUGCAUUCUAAGGGCAGGGGCUGCUUUUUGCCUUUCUUUUUAGCUCUGGCACUUAACACAGGUGAACACGACGACCAGCACCUCUGAUGUGAGGCUUUUCAGGGCUGCUUUCAUCCUUUGGUGCUCACCUGCCAGCCAGCUCUCACCUGUGUCUCCAAGAAGCUGGAGCAUGCCUGUGGCCACACCCCAGAAAAACUACCUCAGCAGAUGGGCUAAAUCAGGUGGAGAGUAACUGAUGGGCCUCAAACUCAUCAUUGAAUUCUUCUGGGGCAGAUUCCAGGAAGAGUAAGGAACAAACCACUGGUGGUCUCCUGUGUGGCUUUCUACGUGACUCUUUGUUAGGGUCAGGAAGGGGACAGCUGUUGGGCUGAGGGUUUGUCCUCAAAUGCUGCUGCCUGCCAUCCAUGAAUUCCCUUUGGUUGGGAAAUACCUUUGACAGUUGUAAAUUGUGGUAAAUUACUCUGAGACCCUCCAACUUGAAAUAAAACCCAUUUUAUGUUUAUA
Molecule: non-coding RNA, 7167 nt
Organism: Monodelphis domestica (gray short-tailed opossum)
Lineage: Eukaryota; Metazoa; Chordata; Mammalia; Didelphimorphia; Didelphidae
Source: RefSeq, a predicted model, not a curated record